Molecule: ribosomal RNA, 428 nt
Filed under: uncultured bacterium
Lineage: Bacteria
Description: partial 16S ribosomal RNA
Rfam family: Bacterial small subunit ribosomal RNA
Source: RNAcentral
GUAGGGAAUAUUGCGCAAUGGGCGAAAGCCUGACGCAGCGACGCCGCGUGAGUGAUGAAGGACUUCGGUUCGUAAAGCUCUGUUGCAAGGGAAAAAGAAAGUGAUUGUACCUUGUGAGGAAGGGUCGGCUAACUUCGUGCCAGCAGCCGCGGUAAGACGAGGGACCCUAGCGUUGUUCGGAAUCAUUGGGCGUAAAGCGGGUGUAGGUGGCUCUCUAAGUCAGGUGUGAAAGCCCUGGGCUCAACCCAGGAAGUACAUUGGAGACUGGAGAGCUUGAGUGCUGGAGAGGCUAGUAGAAUUCCCGGUGUAGUGGUGAAAUACGUAGAUAUCUGGAGGAAUACCGGAGGCGAAGGCGGAUAGCUGGCCAGACACUGACACUCAGACCCGAAAGUGCGGGGAUCAAACAGGAUUAGAAACCCCUGUAGUCC